Long non-coding RNA from Neopelma chrysocephalum (saffron-crested tyrant-manakin), 298 nucleotides. RefSeq lists it as uncharacterized. The record is from RefSeq and is a predicted model, not a curated record. NCBI's taxonomy places the organism in Eukaryota, Metazoa, Chordata, Aves, Passeriformes, Pipridae. The transcript is spliced from 3 exons.
CAUUGGGAUCCAAGUCCCCUUGAGACCACCAUCAUGGGAGGGGAAUGAUGCAUUCGCUGAGUUCGGAGAGAGACACAGGCACUGCGAUGCCAGUGAGUGCCUUUGUCCAGGAGGCAGGCAGGAGGCAGAGCAGGAGGGGCCCUGGCAAUUGCUCCUGUGCUCCUCCUGUGCUGCCGAGGGCACCCACAGACACUGCUCUGGCCUGAGGGACAGCAUAACCAGAUGGGAAUGUGAUGGCUGUGCUGGUCUGGGCACAUGUAAGUCGCAAAGCACCCUGGUGACCCUGGGCCUGGCAGUG